UGGGGAAUAUUGCACAAUGGGCGAAAGCCUGAUGCAGCAACGCCGCGUGAGUGAUGAAGGCCUUCGGGUUGUAAAGCUCUGUCUUUGGGGACGAUAAUGACGGUACCCAAGGAGGAAGCCACGGCUAACUACGUGCCAGCAGCCGCGGUAAUACGUAGGUGGCAAGCGUUGUCCGGAUUUACUGGGCGUAAAGGAUGCGUAGGCGGAUUUUUAAGUCAGAUGUGAAAUACCCGAGCUCAACUUGGGUGCUGCAUUUGAAACUGGAUAUCUAGAGUGCGGGAGAGGAGAGUGGAAUUCCUAGUGUAGCGGUGAAAUGCGUAGAGAUUAGGAAGAACACCAGUGGCGAAGGCGACUCUCUGGACCGUAACUGACGCUGAGGCAUGAAAGCGUGGGUAGCAAACA
RNAcentral lists this ribosomal RNA (402 nucleotides) under uncultured microorganism. RNAcentral describes it as "bacterial SSU rRNA". It matches the Rfam family "Bacterial small subunit ribosomal RNA", at positions 355 to 774 of the family's 1533-position model. The record is from RNAcentral.